AACGGUGCGCAUUUGCUGUAAACGGAAUCGACCCCGUUUGUGGCGUAGCUAACGCGAUAAAUGCGCCGCCUGGGAAGUACGGUCGCAAGAUUAAAACUCAAAGAAAUUGACGGGGGCCCGCACAAACGGCGGAGCAUGCGGCUUAAUUCGAUGCAACGCGAAGAACCUUACCUGGGCUUGACAUGCAGGGUGAAACCCGUGAAAGCGGGUGCUCUUCGGAGCCUGCACAGGUGGUGCAUGGCUGUCGUCAGCUCGUGCCGUGAGGUGUUGCCUUAAGUGGCGCAACGAGCGCAACCCCUGUCCUUAGUUGCCAGCGGAUAAUGCCGGGAACUCUAGGGAGACUGCCGGUGCCAAACCGGAGGAAGGUGGGGAUGACGUUUCCUUCCAUCACA
RNAcentral lists this unclassified non-coding RNA (392 nucleotides) under uncultured Actinomycetes bacterium. RNAcentral describes it as "uncultured actinobacterium contains 16S-23S intergenic spacer region". It matches the Rfam family "Bacterial small subunit ribosomal RNA", at positions 805 to 1197 of the family's 1533-position model. The record is from RNAcentral. Lineage: Bacteria; Bacillati; Actinomycetota; Actinomycetes.